This 141-nucleotide ribosomal RNA is filed under the name uncultured eukaryote. RNAcentral describes it as "partial 18S ribosomal RNA". It matches the Rfam family "Eukaryotic small subunit ribosomal RNA", at positions 1299 to 1458 of the family's 1831-position model. The record is from RNAcentral.
UGGUGGAGUGAUUUGUCUGGUUAAUUCCGUUAACGAACGAGACCUGGACCUGCUAAAUAGUUUGUGCAAGGCUUUGUCCUUGUAGCUAACUUCUUAGAGGGACUAUUGGUGCGUAGCCAGUGGAAGUUCCAGGCAAUAACA